UACGAAGGGGGCUAGCGUUGCUCGGAAUUACUGGGCGUAAAGGGCGCGUAGGCGGACAGUUUAGUCAGAGGUGAAAGCCCAGGGCUCAACCCUGGAAUUGCCUUUGAUACUGACUGUCUUGAGUACGGGAGAGGUGAGUGGAACUCCGAGUGUAGAGGUGAAAUUCGUAGAUAUUCGCAAGAACACCAGUGGCGAAGGCGGCUCACUGGCCCGAUACUGACGCUGAGGCACGAAAGCGUGGGGAGCAAACAGG
This 253-nucleotide ribosomal RNA is filed under the name uncultured bacterium. RNAcentral's name for it is "partial 16S ribosomal RNA". It matches the Rfam family "Bacterial small subunit ribosomal RNA", at positions 524 to 776 of the family's 1533-position model. The record is from RNAcentral.